This 491-nucleotide ribosomal RNA is filed under the name Encephalitozoon hellem. Its description in RNAcentral is "SSU rRNA". It matches the Rfam family "Microsporidia small subunit ribosomal RNA", at positions 134 to 624 of the family's 1311-position model. Lineage: Eukaryota; Fungi; Microsporidia; Unikaryonidae. The record is from RNAcentral.
AGUUCUGGGGGUGGUAGUUUGUAGCUACUGCGUACCGAGUAAGUUGUAGGCCUAUCAGCUGGUAGUUAGGGUAAUGGCCUAACUAGGCGGAGACGGGAGACGGGGGAUCAGGGUUUGAUUCCGGAGAGGGAGCCUGAGAGAUGGCUACUACGUCCAAGGAUGGCAGCAGGCGCGAAACUUGCCUAAUCCUUAUUGGGGAGGCGGUUAUGAGAAGUAAGAUGUUUAGCAAGUAUAAAUUUGUUGUGAUUUACUGGAGGGCAAGUCGGGUGCCAGCAGCCGCGGUAAUACCUGCUCCAGUAGUGUCUAUGGUGAAUGCUGCAGUUAAAAUGUCCGUAGUUGUUUGUAUGUCUUUUGAGUGAUGUUUAUGGUUUUUAGUGGAUGUAGUUUUAUUGUAGCAGAGGACGAGGGGCACUGGAUAGUUGGGCGAGGGGUGAAAUACGAAGACCCUGACUGGACGAAGAGAAGCGAAGGCUGUGCUCUUGGACUUAUGU